CGGAUUGUAGUCUGCAACCCGACUACAUGAAGCUGGAAUCGCUAGUAAUCGCGGAUCAGAAUGCCGCGGUGAAUACGUUCCCGGGUCUUGUACACACCGCCCGUCACACCAUGGGAGUCGGAAAUGCCCGAAGCCAGUGACCCAACCUUAGGGAGGGAGCUGUCGAAGGUGGAGCCGGUAACUGGGGUGAAGUCGUAACAAGGUAGC
This 207-nucleotide ribosomal RNA is filed under the name uncultured bacterium. RNAcentral describes it as "partial 16S ribosomal RNA". It matches the Rfam family "Bacterial small subunit ribosomal RNA", at positions 1294 to 1500 of the family's 1533-position model. The record is from RNAcentral.